RNAcentral lists this transfer RNA (74 nucleotides) under Ndongobacter sp. RNAcentral describes it as "tRNA-Cys". It matches the Rfam family "tRNA". Rfam says of the family: Transfer RNA (tRNA) molecules are approximately 80 nucleotides in length. Their secondary structure includes four short double-helical elements and three loops (D, anti-codon, and T loops). Further hydrogen bonds mediate the characteristic L-shaped molecular structure. tRNAs have two regions of fundamental functional importance: the anti-codon, which is responsible for specific mRNA codon recognition, and the 3' end, to which the tRNAs corresponding amino acid is attached (by aminoacyl-tRNA synthetases). tRNAs cope with the degeneracy of the genetic code in two manners: having more than one tRNA (with a specific anti-codon) for a particular amino acid; and 'wobble' base-pairing, i.e. permitting non-standard base-pairing at the 3rd anti-codon position. Lineage: Bacteria; Bacillati; Bacillota. RNAcentral also lists the same sequence under 1 other name. The record is from RNAcentral.
GGCGACAUAGCCAAGUGGUAAGGCAGAGGUCUGCAACACCUUUAUCCCCAGUUCAAAUCUGGGUGUCGCCUCCA